Molecule: non-coding RNA, 27 nt
Filed under: Cricetulus griseus (Chinese hamster)
Lineage: Eukaryota; Metazoa; Chordata; Mammalia; Rodentia; Cricetidae
Source: RNAcentral
UGUGUUAACUGGGCAAACAAAAAGACC